RNAcentral lists this small RNA (125 nucleotides) under Loktanella sp. 3ANDIMAR09. Its description in RNAcentral is "Alphaproteobacterial ar14". It matches the Rfam family "Alphaproteobacterial ar14". From Rfam's summary of the family: Smr14C2 was renamed NfeR1 (Nodule Formation Efficiency RNA) highly expressed in salt stress and during the symbiotic interaction on legume roots. The record is from Rfam by way of RNAcentral. Lineage: Bacteria; Pseudomonadati; Pseudomonadota; Alphaproteobacteria; Rhodobacterales; Roseobacteraceae.
CAUCGUCGGAACCCUCUACCUCCUCCCGGAGGGCCCGACGCCGGCGCAAGCCCGACCUCCUCCCCGAGGUUUGCGCUCACAAAUGGAAAGGCGAUGCGCACCUCCUCCCGCGCAUCGCCUUUUUC